This 305-nucleotide ribosomal RNA is filed under the name uncultured bacterium. RNAcentral's name for it is "bacterial SSU rRNA". It matches the Rfam family "Bacterial small subunit ribosomal RNA", at positions 337 to 640 of the family's 1533-position model. The record is from RNAcentral.
ACCUACGGGGCGCAGCAGUGAGGAAUAUUGGUCAAUGGCCGGAAGGCUGAACCAGCCAAGUCGCGUGAGGGACGACUGCCCUAUGGGUUGUAAACCUCUUUUAUAAGGGAAGAAUAAAUGCUACGUGUAGCAUGAUGCCUGUACCUUAUGAAUAAGCAUCGGCUAACUCCGUGCCAGCAGCCGCGGUAAUACGGAGGAUGCGAGCGUUAUCCGGAUUUAUUGGGUUUAAAGGGUGCGCAGGCGGCGUGUCAAGUCAGCGGUAAAAUGUCGGGGCUCAACCCCGGCCGGCCGUUGAAACUGGCGUG